UGCUCUCGCAACUCCUAUUCCUACCUCCACGUUGGUGCCGACUGGGAUGCGGAUCACUUCGCCGUGAUUCGUAUGCUAACAGGAAAGG
Non-coding RNA from Anopheles merus, 88 nucleotides. The record is from Rfam. NCBI's taxonomy places the organism in Eukaryota, Metazoa, Arthropoda, Insecta, Diptera, Culicidae.